Molecule: long non-coding RNA, 1746 nt
Organism: Trachemys scripta elegans
Lineage: Eukaryota; Metazoa; Chordata; Testudines; Emydidae
Exons: 4
Source: RefSeq, a predicted model, not a curated record
CCAUGGUGCACAGGGGGCAGUAUGUGGCCUCUCCAAAGUCCUGCCCUUCCUUGCAACACUUCUGCUGCAGAUGGGUCUUUCUACAUCUGCUAAGGAGGAGGGAAAAUUUUAUCCUGGGAGGAAAAAGCCCUCUGCUGUUCUAAAUGCAAUAUCUGACCCCCACUGAUCUCAACCUCAGAAAGGAAGAACAUCAUACACUGACUGUUGGAAACUAAGAAUAUUUACCUUGGGUCCGCUCAGAGUUCUUAAGCACAGAUGUCUGAUUAUAAGAAGUCAGAGGGAGCUACAGUAUUCCGUCACUCACAAUUGUACAGCACCAACAGUGUUAGGUGUUCCCACAGUAUGUUACACAGGUGAUUCCAUGGGAGCAGAUGAAAAAUUUUAAGAGCGAGGGACAUGGUGACAGUUGCAUCAUCAAAGCAUCAGGCUCAUCAUGCACCUUGUACAUCCAACAUUUUGUUGAUGCCUUUGCACUGGAAACAAAACAGCACCAUAUAUUACCAGAAAUGCUUUAUUACACAUGCAGUCAGGAACAACGCCUUACAGUGCCUCAGUUCAGAGUUGCAGUAAAUUACCUGAUUUGCCUCUUUUACAAGGGACAAGUGUCUUCCCAGAGACAUCAUAAACCAGUUAAAUGAUUGGAGGGAUUUAUUUUAACUUUGGGAGACUUGAUAGUCACAAAAAAAAAAAAAAAAAGAGGUUACUCACUCUUGCUAGCCCUGGAGUUCACAUCUGCUGGCUGUUGUAGCUAUUGUUUGCAUGGAUUGGGACCUUCUCUGCUCCCCUCUGGCUUGUUCCUUUGAAUGAGCGUAAGGGGAUCUAACUACUUUGUUAACCUUUUCUUAUUGUGGCUGAAAACCUUCCAGUAACAGACAAGCUACAACACAGAUGGUUUAAACAGUUGUAUCCUUCAGCAUCCCCAUGUAUAAGGUCCUAUCCCCUUGGGUAGUGCUAAGGGCUAUACAUUUGUAGAGUCCAGAAGCACAAUAUCACCAGAAAUAGAUACAAUUAAUGCCAAGCCAUCAUGAAAAUGUUCCCAAUUAGCUAAAUUCAAUACAGCUUUAAAGAAAUUAUAUCAAAAUUAAACCUUUAGUUGUAACAGUUGAGCUCAAGAGCAUUGGUAGGAAGGAAGGAUUUGUAGAGACAACUGGCACUUAUGCAACUGGAACUGAGAAACUAUAGCCAUUUCUUCUUACAAAAGAUACAGGGCCAGAUUCCUACCUUUCCCCAUUCUAGAUGUUUCCAUUUAUAGAGGGAUUUCCCUCUGUGACACAGAGCUAGCAUAGCACAAGGGCCAUGUCAAGGACUGGACCAAAGGAAAGGGGGUGUGGUCAGAGUGCCAAUGUGCUUGGGCAAUCCUUGGCUUGCGGCCUGUUGCAGCAGGGCACAACUUAAUCUUCAUUCCUGUAGCCAUGACAUUAGUCUCCAUAGCUGUCACCAAAAGCUACAUGUGCAGAGGCUACAGGGCAGGGAACACUUCUUAAUUACGUAUGUAACUGUCACAUAAACAGCAUUGCUGUCAGGCUGGAUGCACCACAGGGUUUUUAAGACUGCUCUGUAUUAGAGUAUGUUAUUGAGCCAUCAAGUAGAACAAAAAUAUGCAAAUAGCCUUAGUUUAUAACGAGCAAGUGUAUUGUUUUGAACACUAGCAUUCUCCCAGGAUUUUAUGCUACAGCCCCUUAUUUAUUGUCUUCAACAAAUAAGACUUAUAAACAAUUUUUGUGAAAGUGGAGACUUUGUGCUUAU